AACGAACGCUGGCGGCAGGCCUAACACAUGCAAGUCGAACGCCCUAGCAAUAGGGAGUGGCAGACGGGUGAGUAACACGUGGGAACGUGCCCUUCGGUUCGGAAUAACUCAGGGAAACUUGAGCUAAUACCGGAUAAGUGCGAGAGCAGAAAGAUUUAUCGCCGAAGGAUCGGCCCGCGUCCGAUUAGCUAGUUGGUGAGGUAAUGGCUCACCAAGGCGACGAUCGGUAGCUGGUCUGAGAGGAUGACCAGCCACACUGGGACUGAGACACGGCCCAGACUCCUACGGGAGGCAGCAGUGGGGAAUAUUGGACAAUGGGCGCAAGCCUGAUCCAGCCAUGCCGCGUGAGUGAUGAAGGCCCUAGGGUUGUAAAGCUCUUUCGCCAGGGACGAUAAUGACGGUACCUGGAUAAGAAGCCCCGGCUAACUUCGUGCCAGCCGCCGCCGUAA
This 449-nucleotide ribosomal RNA is filed under the name uncultured bacterium. RNAcentral's name for it is "partial 16S ribosomal RNA". It matches the Rfam family "Bacterial small subunit ribosomal RNA", at positions 29 to 523 of the family's 1533-position model. The record is from RNAcentral.